AUUGAACGCUGGCGGUAUGCUUAACACAUGCAAGUCGAACGGCAGCAUGGGAGUGCUUGCACUCCUGAUGGCGAGUGGCGGACGGGUGAGUAAUACGUAGAAAUCUGCCUAGAGGAUUGGGAUAGCUUGUGGAAACGCAAGGUAAUACCGAAUACGCCCUACGGGGGAAAGCGGGGGACUAGCAAUAGCCUCGCACCUUUAGAUGAGUCUACGCCGGAUUAGUUUGUUGGUGGGGUAAAGGCCUACCAAGACGACGAUCCGUAGCUGUUCUGAGAGGAAGAUCAGCCACACUGGGACUGAGACACGGCCCAG
This 312-nucleotide ribosomal RNA is filed under the name uncultured bacterium. RNAcentral's name for it is "bacterial SSU rRNA". It matches the Rfam family "Bacterial small subunit ribosomal RNA", at positions 30 to 334 of the family's 1533-position model. The record is from RNAcentral.